GUCGGGGAAGAAAAUGACUGUACCCGAAUAAGAAGGUCCGGCUAACUUCGUGCCAGCAGCCGCGGUAAUACGAAGGGACCUAGCGUAGUUCGGAAUUACUGGGCUUAAAGAGUUCGUAGGUGGUUGAAAAAGUUAGUGGUGAAAUCCCAGAGCUUAACUCUGGAACUGCCAUUAAAACUUUUCAGCUAGAGUAUGAUAGAGGAAAGCAGAAUUUCUAGUGUAGAGGUGAAAUUCGUAGAUAUUAGAAAGAAUACCAAUUGCGAAGGCAGCUUUCUGGAUCAUUACUGACACUGAGGAACGAAAGCAUGGGUAGCGAAGAGGAUUAGAUACCCUCGUAGUCCAUGCCGUAAACGAUGUGUGUUAGACGUUGGAAAUUUAUUUUCAGUGUCGCAGGGAAACCGAUAAACACACCGCCUGGGGAGUACGACCGCAAGGUUAAAACUCAAAUGAAUUGACGGGGACCCGCACAAGUAGUGGAGCAUGUGGUUUAAUUCGAAGAUACGCGCAGAACCUUACCAACACUUGACAUGUUCGUCGCGACUCUAAGAGAUUAGAGUUUUCGGUUCGGCCGGACGAAACACAGGUGCUGCAUGGCUGUCGUCAGCUCGUGUCGUGAGAUGUUGGGUUAAGUCCCGCAACGAGCGCAACCCUCACUUUUAGUUGCCAUCAUUAAGUUGGGCACUCUGAAAGAACUGCCAGUGAUAAGCUGGAGGAAGGUGGGGAUGACGUCAAGUCCUCAUGGCCCUUACGUGUUGGGCUACACACGUGCUACAAUGGUAUCUACAACAGGAAGCAAGACUGCGAAGUUAAGCAAAUCCCUAAAAGAUACCUCAGUUCGGAUUGCACUCUGCAACUCGAGUGCAUGAAGCUGGAAUUACUAGUAAUCGUGGAUCAGCGUGCCACGGUGAAUGCGUUCCCGGGUCUUGUACACACCGCCCGUCACACCAUGGGAGUUGGUUCUACCUUAAGGCAAGGUUUCAAACCCUUGACCACGGUAUAGUCAGCGACUGGGGUG
RNAcentral lists this ribosomal RNA (1015 nucleotides) under uncultured bacterium. Its description in RNAcentral is "bacterial SSU rRNA". It matches the Rfam family "Bacterial small subunit ribosomal RNA", at positions 438 to 1482 of the family's 1533-position model. The record is from RNAcentral.